GACAGUUUAGAUCUGUGGGUGGCUGUAGAGGAGGCUUUGCCGGCCGUGUCAGACCUGCCGGCACCUUGCAUGAUUCCAGUAGCACCAGUGCCACCUUCUGUGGAAGGCAUGGGGCCCUCUGUAGAGUCCUUGCCUCCUGUAAACAAUUUGGUGCAUGACGUGGAUUUGGGUCUUCCUGGCACAUCCAUCUUUCUUUCCUCAGACCAGUCUAGGGAUAGUGCUGAGGCUGUGCGACGAACGAGACGUGCCACAGCGGGGCAACAUUCUAACAUCCAUCAUCUUCCGCGAGCAGUGGAAAAUGCAAGGGAUGAGGUAUCUGUUUCAGGGACGGUGUCUAGUAUUAGUUCUGGGUUGUUUAGGCCUUGGUACUGAUGUUCUCUUUGUAUCUAUCGUCGGGGCGACGACACAAAAGUAGGGGGUAGAUUGUAGUGAAGUCGUGUGACGUCAGUACAAUUUGGUAGGUGGCCAAUUAGUAAUUGCCCAUUUGUGGUAUAUAAACCUUUCAUUCAGGCAUCUUGGGGUGCGUCAUGGUUGAAAGCCCGCCCCUUCCGUUGUAAACACCGACUGAGUGUCCUGCUGCGUUGCUGAGGGUUUGUGCGUGUGGGUUGCUGCUUACUCCCAGUAUGAUGUGCCUUCAGCGCUUCCAUCGUUGUGGCAUCGCAAUGUAAUUGAUCGGAGCACCAGCUGUUUCAGUCAACGAGCCUGUUAAAUGAUUCUCUGGUAUAUGUUGACGUGUAACUGGAUCGUACUCUCUGGUCUUCGUGGACUCUAAAGUGGGCUAAUUAAGUGAGCAGUCGCAUUAAACGGUGCGCUCUCCCUCUCCGUCACUCUCUCUCUCUCUUUGAAGCCACGCUGCUGCUUUCUCCACAUCGAUACGCUUAAGUCGAGCGUGUACGUGGGCCUGAGGAUUAAAUUUGCUCUUUUUUUUCUAUUAGUUGGCAUUUCUUUACUAUUGUUUUCUUUGGUUGACCAGUUUUCAAGUUAUGUAAGUUUGAGUGACUGUCUGUCUGAAAUCACUGCUGGGUGUGUUCCUGCAGCGGUCACAGUGUAACGUAUUUGUUUAUUGUUUGGUUGUAGAGUGUUUAGAGUUUUCUUUACUUUGGGUUUGAUUUGAGGGAAAUAUUUUCUUUAUUAUUAUUUUUGUGUGUGUGUGUUGAUUAUCAUGGACUAAGUUAAUUAGACCGAUUGUGAAUGUGGUUUGUUUAUGUUUUCCUUGUUAAAUUAAUGUGUCGUGCCAUCAGGCAUUUAUUCGAUUCUGAUUGAUUCUGCCUGUAGUAAUCGCUGUGUCCCUGCAGCGGUCAUUUGAAAUUGUUUCAAUUGUUUUUUUUUUUUAUUUUGAAUUGUCUGUCUUUAAUUCGUUAAUAGUAUUCCUAUAUUGUUUGUCUUUUUGGUGUGUGUAAGUGUUUUUCUUUCUUUGGUUCUUGCUACGUUAAAGUCAAUAAAUUGACUUUGAAUAUUGUUUUUUUCUAUUAUUUUCAGUUUCUUUUCUAUUUUCUUUUUCUCUUUUCCUUUAGGAGCUGAUGCCCUCCUGGAGCGGGCUGGUUGUCUGUUUUACAGCAGGUUUUGUUCACUGAGAAUGUUAUUGCAGUUUCAUUAUUGCCGUGUCACUAUCUUUGGCUAUUUGCAGUGAAUUGGGUGGGUGUAAGAGUGGUUGCCGUGUUUCUUAUGGUGGACCUGCUGCUGGCACACUAGCCUGCUCCUGUGCUGAAGCCUCAGUCUCCGACGUUAAGUCAAGUGUGUUAUUAAUUUUGUAAAAGUGUAUUGAGAAUCUGGUGAGCUUAUAAUAAGCCUUGUGGAGGUUUA
Molecule: non-coding RNA, 1803 nt
Organism: Pimephales promelas (fathead minnow)
Lineage: Eukaryota; Metazoa; Chordata; Actinopteri; Cypriniformes; Leuciscidae
Source: RefSeq, a predicted model, not a curated record